RNAcentral lists this ribosomal RNA (1369 nucleotides) under uncultured bacterium. RNAcentral's name for it is "bacterial SSU rRNA". It matches the Rfam family "Bacterial small subunit ribosomal RNA", at positions 28 to 1381 of the family's 1533-position model. The record is from RNAcentral.
GACGAACGCUGGCGGCGUGCCUAAUACAUGCAAGUAGAACGCUGAAGAGAGGAGCUUGCUCUUCUUGGGUGAGUUGCGAACGGGUGAGUAACGCGUAGGUAACCUGCCUUGUAGCGGGGGAUAACUAUUGGAAACGAUAGCUAAUACCGCAUAACAAUGGAUGACACAUGUCAUUUAUUUGAAAGGGGCAAUUGCUCCACUACAAGACGGACCUGCGUUGUAUUAGCUAGUAGGUGAGGUAACGGCUCACCUAGGCGACGAUACAUAGCCGACCUGAGAGGGUGAUCGGCCACACUGGGACUGAGACACGGCCCAGACUCCUACGGGAGGCAGCAGUAGGGAAUCUUCGGCAAUGGGGGCAACCCUGACCGAGCAACGCCGCGUGAGUGAAGAAGGUUUUCGGAUCGUAAAGCUCUGUUGUAAGUCAAGAACGAGUGUGAGAGUGGAAAGUUCACACUGUGACGGUAGCUUACCAGAAAGGGACGGCUAACUACGUGCCAGCAGCCGCGGUAAUACGUAGGUCCCGAGCGUUGUCCGGAUUUAUUGGGCGUAAAGCGAGCGCAGGCGGUUUGAUAAGUCUGAAGUUAAAGGCUGUGGCUCAACCAUAGUUCGCUUUGGAAACUGUCAAACUUGAGUGCAGAAGGGGAGAGUGGAAUUCCAUGUGUAGCGGUGAAAUGCGUAGAUAUAUGGAGGAACACCGGUGGCGAAAGCGGCUCUCUGGUCUGUAACUGACGCUGAGGCUCGAAAGCGUGGGGAGCGAACAGGAUUAGAUACCCUGGUAGUCCACGCCGUAAACGAUGAGUGCUAGGUGUUGGAUCCUUUCCGGGAUUCAGUGCCGCAGCUAACGCAUUAAGCACUCCGCCUGGGGAGUACGACCGCAAGGUUGAAACUCAAAGGAAUUGACGGGGGCCCGCACAAGCGGUGGAGCAUGUGGUUUAAUUCGAAGCAACGCGAAGAACCUUACCAGGUCUUGACAUCCCGAUGCUAUUUCUAGAGAUAGAAAGUUACUUCGGUACAUCGGUGACAGGUGGUGCAUGGUUGUCGUCAGCUCGUGUCGCGAGAUGUUGGGUUAAGUCCCGCAACGAGCGCAACCCCUAUUGUUAGUUGCCAUCAUUCAGUUGGGCACUCUAGCGAGACUGCCGGUAAUAAACCGGAGGAAGGUGGGGAUGACGUCAAAUCAUCAUGCCCCUUAUGACCUGGGCUACACACGUGCUACAAUGGUUGGUACAACGAGUUGCGAGUCGGUGACGGCAAGCUAAUCUCUUAAAGCCAAUCUCAGUUCGGAUUGUAGGCUGCAACUCGCCUACAUGAAGUCGGAAUCGCUAGUAAUCGCGGAUCAGCACGCCGCGGUGAAUACGUUCCCGGGCCU